Molecule: long non-coding RNA, 1162 nt
Filed under: Acyrthosiphon pisum (pea aphid)
Lineage: Eukaryota; Metazoa; Arthropoda; Insecta; Hemiptera; Aphididae
Description: uncharacterized LOC100568729, transcript variant X5
Source: RNAcentral
GGUAUCUAUAUCCGUAUUCCGUGGAUUCCACUAUUUGUUGAUAUAGAUAAGUGAUAACAAUAAAAAUUGAUAGUGAAUAGUGAUCCGGUGAUUGGAUAACGGAUAUAAUAUUAUUAUUAUUCUACUGGUUAGUACUUAUAUCUUAGUUCGUGUCAGUUUUCGCAAGUGUUUUGGUUUUUGGCUUUUACUCUGCUGGAAAUUGACACAACUGAUUGAUUCAUUAGUUGGAAUACAAAAUAUUUUAAAUACAUUUGGUGAACCAUGGUCAACAAAUGUGGAGUAAAGGGUUGUAAGACAACUGCUAUCAAAGGGUCAAAAGUGUGUGUGUUUCCUAAAGCUGGUAUUUGCCGUUUAUGGGUAAAUGCUGUGCAACAAUAUCAACUAAAUUUUUUUCCAAGUCAACAGUCAAUUAUAAUAUGUAAAUCUGUACAGUCUGUAGUUUCUGUUGAAGAAAUUGAAGUUAUUAUGGACGGUGUAUUAUCUGAGAAUUCUGGAUCAUUCUUAUUUCCAUCAGUGAAGUCUGAAGUUUCUGACGAAGAAAUUGAAGUCAUUAUAGAUUAUGUAUUAUGUUUUCAAAAAUCUUCAUCAGUGUUAUUCGAUGAAUCAGAUAAAGAAAACAAUGUUUCAUUACCAAAAACUCUAACAAAAAAAUCAAAAUGGCUGCAUUUAAUACAGAACACUUUGCUGACCUUAUAAACUCAAGAAUUAUUACGUACCCAUAUAAAGUGGCAGAUCUGGACUCCUUGAAACCAACAAUUCGGAUAAUUUCAUCAAAUUUAAGAAGAAUGAAUAUGGAUUUUCCUCGGAGGAACUUACUACCAUUUCCAGCUGUGAUAUAGAGGAGGUACACUGCAGCCGCAACCUCAAACCCAACUUGGACCAAAAUGAGCGCCAUUCAGGUGGCAGCUCGGAUGACGGAAACAGAAUCUAUUGUCAAGGAGAACGUUGCUGCAAAUGGCCGAUGCAGCGUAUAUUAAUAUUAUUGCAAUUAUAUGGAAUAUGCUCCCAAUUCAUUCAAUGACAAUUGAAUUUAGGGCAGUCAUUUGUGUUGUCCUACAAAUACGCUACUGUGAAUUAUUUUCUUAUGGAAUAACAAUCUAGUAUUAUAUUAUAAUUAUUAUACUAGCAGAUUUUAAUUUUUAAAUAAAAAUAAAAAAAUAAU